UGGUAGAUGCACCCUGAUAACUCACUCCCCUAGUAGGCUAACACCAACUGGGGUUUUUUUAU
This 62-nucleotide small RNA is filed under the name Nostoc sp. ATCC 43529. RNAcentral's name for it is "Nitrogen stress-induced RNA 1". It matches the Rfam family "Nitrogen stress-induced RNA 1". Lineage: Bacteria; Bacillati; Cyanobacteriota; Cyanophyceae; Nostocales; Nostocaceae. The record is from Rfam by way of RNAcentral.